CGGGUGAGUAAUACAUCGGAACGUGCCCAGUAGUGGGGGAUAACCCGGCGAAAGCCGGACUAAUACCGCAUACGACCUACGGGUGAAAGCAGGGGAUCGCAAGACCUUGCGCUAUUGGAGCGGCCGAUGUCAGAUUAGCUAGUUGGCGGGGUAAGAGCCCACCAAGGCGACGAUCUGUAGCUGGUCUGAGAGGACGACCAGCCACACUGGGACUGAGACACGGCCCAG
Molecule: ribosomal RNA, 228 nt
Filed under: uncultured bacterium
Lineage: Bacteria
Description: partial 16S ribosomal RNA
Rfam family: Bacterial small subunit ribosomal RNA
Source: RNAcentral